RNAcentral lists this ribosomal RNA (201 nucleotides) under uncultured bacterium. Its description in RNAcentral is "partial 16S ribosomal RNA". It matches the Rfam family "Bacterial small subunit ribosomal RNA", at positions 328 to 539 of the family's 1533-position model. The record is from RNAcentral.
ACGCUCGACACCUACUGGAGGCAGCAGUGGGGAAUAUUGGGCAAUGGGCGCAAGCCUGACCCAGCAACGCCGCGUGAAGGAAGAAGGCCCUCGGGUUGUAAACUUCUUUUGUCAGGGACGAAGCAAGUGACGGUACCUGACGAAUAAGCCACGGCUAACUACGUGUCAGCAGCCGCGGUAAUCUGAGCGGGCUGGCAAGGC